Molecule: transfer RNA, 70 nt
Filed under: Pleoticus muelleri
Lineage: Eukaryota; Metazoa; Arthropoda; Malacostraca; Decapoda; Solenoceridae
Description: tRNA-Leu
Rfam family: tRNA
About the family: Transfer RNA (tRNA) molecules are approximately 80 nucleotides in length. Their secondary structure includes four short double-helical elements and three loops (D, anti-codon, and T loops). Further hydrogen bonds mediate the characteristic L-shaped molecular structure. tRNAs have two regions of fundamental functional importance: the anti-codon, which is responsible for specific mRNA codon recognition, and the 3' end, to which the tRNAs corresponding amino acid is attached (by aminoacyl-tRNA synthetases). tRNAs cope with the degeneracy of the genetic code in two manners: having more than one tRNA (with a specific anti-codon) for a particular amino acid; and 'wobble' base-pairing, i.e. permitting non-standard base-pairing at the 3rd anti-codon position.
Source: RNAcentral
UAUUGCUCUGGCAGAAUUAUGCAUUGGACUUAGGAUCCAAUUAUGUGGGUAAAAAUCCCAUGGGUAAUAA